AUAAUACUCACUUCGUCCGAAAAUACUUAGCGUGGGAAUGGAUAUAUCUAGAUGUAUUUUAGUUUUAGAUACAUUCAUUUGUAUCCAUUUUUGUGAUAAGUAAUUUCAGACGGAGUAAGUAGCAU
RNAcentral lists this microRNA precursor (125 nucleotides) under Hordeum vulgare. RNAcentral's name for it is "microRNA MIR1122". It matches the Rfam family "MIR1120/MIR1122 microRNA precursor family". Lineage: Eukaryota; Viridiplantae; Streptophyta; Magnoliopsida; Poales; Poaceae. The record is from RNAcentral.